This 1139-nucleotide long non-coding RNA is filed under the name Marmota monax (woodchuck). The record is from RNAcentral. Lineage: Eukaryota; Metazoa; Chordata; Mammalia; Rodentia; Sciuridae.
GGAGGGGUCAGCGAGGAAGGACAAACCACAUGGCAACGUGGUGCUUCUCUUCCCUUUGAUUGACAGACCCCUUCUAAGACCUCCAGAGCAGAUCCUCCCAUCUGCCAUCAUUAACAAAAUGGCCCAUCUCCGGCAGGAUUAACUGGGCUUGAGGGAUGCUUGCCUGGGAACAGGGUUGGAGGCAGACGGCAUCCUGUGGCUCCGGCCCUAAGACAACAAAACCCAGAAUGUGCUGACUCUUGGCCCUUCACUAGGAACCAAGCUGAGUCUUUCCACAGGGGGAGACAUGGGGCAGAGGGGAGCAUGGGUGUCAGGCCAUUCUGAGCUAGGGAAGCCCAGAGAACAAGGGUCUUGCAAGAGGUUUGGGGAUGGAGUAGAGGUGCUGGAGGCUCACACCUCAUUAGGCAGCAAAAGUGAAUCCUACUCUGCAGACACUGUUUUGGAGUUGGUAAUCAUUUUAAAAACUCCACCUGCUAUGCAUUCACCCUUUCACAUACCUUCUCCCAUCCAAACACAGCUGUCUCUCCCGUGUCUACCAGCAGGGCCUCAGAAAACAUCAACAAGGCUGGGUUCAAGCCCUCGCUCAUGUUUCUUUGCCUUUUUUCUAUUUCUGUAUUAUCUUAGAACUGUGAUUCUUCAAUCAUGGUCCCCAUAGCCGCAGAGUCAGCAUUACCUGGUAGGUUGUCAGAUAUGCUAAUUCUUAGACUCCACCCCAACCCUACAGAAUCUAAACUCUGGGGCUGAGACUGGUAAUCUGCAGCUUAAGAAGUUCUCCAGGUGCCCCUAAUGAUCCCAGAGGCUUGAGAAUCAUUCUCCUUGAGAUGCGUGGCAGAAAUAAGGCCCUCCACCAGCAUUCAAAAUGUCAGAGUUGACACCUGCGUGAUGAACGGGUGUCACUUUUGAAAAGGAAAGAAAUAAUAACUGUUUUUAUGUACAUCACCCCUUGUCCACAUGCACACAUGCAGAAGAAUGGGUACAGGUCAGAGAAUGACUUGCUCCUCAUUCCUCCUGUAUUUAACAUCUGUUCCCCACGCUUUGGGUUGUUUGAACAAGAGAAUCAGUACCGGGAUAAACUGGUUUGUAGGAUGUUGGGAGGCAGGUGCAGCCUGCCCCUUUAAUGCAAGCUGAGAACAAACAUG